UGCUUCUUUUUCUUUAAUCAUCUAAUUCUAAUUUUGACAAUCUAGUGUUAAUCGUGUAUUUAAUUAUCGGUAUAUACUCAAUUUAGGGUUCUUCGAAGUUGGAUAAUUGAACUAUUGGUUAUAGAUAAUCCUAAGUUUUCAAUCAAUUGCUAAAUUCUUCAUUUGUCGCCAUUUUAGGGUUUUCACGCAUUUGCUGAAGAAUGUGAGAUAUUCUUUCUUUUCUCCCCAAAUUCUGCACUUUUUCAGCUUGAAUAACUCAAAUUAAGUUCAAAAAAGUAUUUUAUUUGUUGGGGAAUCUUUGGUUGACAAUGUUGGGUUGUGGUUAUGAGCUCUUCCGUAGUGUUAAUUGACAAUUUCAUGGUUUUUAACCCUAGUUUAUGCAGUUCAAUGCACAGGAAAAGUAGCAAUUUUUUGCCCAAUUUUAGGGUUAGGGGAGAUUUUGGGGGGGAGGAAUCAGCGGGUUUUAGGGUUAGUGGUUCCGAAUGCGAAGAAGAAAAAGGGGCUUAAUUCGAGGAAGAAGCUAGAGCUGGUGGCGGAGGUUUUUCUUUGAGGAAGAUGGGAAUUGGCUUGGUUUAAGGGAGGAGGAUUUGGAGGAGUUUGAGGAGGAGAGUAAAAUUGAAGUUGAGGGUUCUGACAAGGGAGAGAGGGAUUCAGAGAAGGAGAAAUUCGAGGCGUGGAAGAAUCAGGCCGAGGCGCUUAUUGAGUUGAGAGAGGCUCAAGAGGGAAUUAAGAAUGAGGAGAAUAGGAAUUGGGAUGAUUGGCUUGUUUUUUAUGAGGGAAAUGGUGCUGUUAGAAGAGAAUGGGAUUAUAUUGAUGAUGAUGAUGUGAAUGAAUUGAAAGAAGAUGAUGUUGAUGGCGACCCUGAUGAGACAAUGCCUAAGAGGGGGUUAGUGAAGACUCUUGAGAAUUUUAUUCUUGGGAAAGAAGAUGAUGAUUUAUUGUAUGAAGACCGUGUUUUUCAAUUCGUUUCGAGGAAUUCGGCUAAAUUUUUGGUUGUUUUGAUAAUUGUACCAUGGGCAAUGGAUUUUCUUGUGCACGACUAUGUUCUUAUGCCUUUCUUAGACAGCCACCACCGGAAGCCGACGCACCCCCACUUCCACCAAGACCACCUCCACUACCACCGCAAGCCGGAUUUCGGACCACCACCCUACCGCCGACCUCCGACCGGAACCACCUUUUCAGCCGCGUCGUCUUGUUUAAUUUCGGAGGCCUUCCAGAAGAAAUCCAAAGAAGCAAGCACCCAAGGGAUUCAGAAGACUCUAAAUGAGCUGUACUGGGAAACUGUAGGUGGUCGCAACAAGAAGGGUCGUGUGAAGGGACUUGGCGAAGGUUCUGAGCUGUAUUAUGCCAACAGGAAGGGUAUAGGUUCCAAGUCUUCCAAGCAUUACACGCCUUCCCUUCUUUCCCAGAUGAAGGAUCAAGUGGAGCAGAGGGUGGAGCAAAGAGCAAAGGGUGCAAGCUAGGCUCAGUGAAAUGGAACUCGAGAUGGAGGCUCGAUUAGCGGAAAUAGAAAAGAAAAACCAAGAGAGGUUUGACGAGAUGAUGCGUCGAUUCUCCAACACCGACCAAUGUUCCAACAUUCCGCAUCAGCCUCGAGACCCUGACCCGGACAGCGAUGGUGCAGGGCAAGGAGAGGACUUUGUAGAAGGCGAUUUCUAGUUCCUAAAGUGGCCAAUCAACUCGUUUACUCAAGGUACAUACAAAUAUACGAAAACCUUGACUUUAGGAGCAUGUUUAAGGAUUUGGAAAAAUUUAGAAUCAUGUUAGGAAACUUGUGGAUUGGUUGGAAUUGUAUGGUAGUAAGUUUGAUUGGUGAUUAAUGUGAUGAUUGGUUUUGUUUCAUGUAUGAGAAAUGCGUAUUAAUUUAUCUUGUAAGUUUUAUUUAUGCAUUAACUUGCAAGAUGAGCUUUGAGGCAAAGGUACGUGAAUAUGUGGAAUGAAUUACUAUAUUACUCGUUCAUGAUUAUUGAAAUGGAAUGAGUAAAGGGAGAAUUAAAGUCUUAUAAGAUGAGGUUGAGGAUUGAUGUGCCUUAUGCACUUAAGGUGUUUAUACACUCAGGUAGUUAGAGGAUUCAAUACUAAAUAUUGUUUGUCACUAACAAAUCAAGAAUUGAAUCGGAAAUUUGAACUGUUUGAAUGAUUUAUGUAUGAUUGGCUGUAUUGUUUUGCAUUUGAGUCAUCACCAAGUUUAAACUUGUAAAUCACGUAAAGUGCAAGAUGGAUGAGCAAUAAAACUCUGAAUUUGUGCACAUCUAGAGUAUUGACAAAUAGGGGUUGGGGUGCAUGGGGUAUUAGCUGUGUACUUUUUAGAGGCCGUCUGAUCUACGAGUCUCUUGUUUACAAAUACUUUUUAAAACUAUAAGGAGUUAGAUGAGAUCUCAUACUAGCUAUGGCCACGGAGUCGCGCCCGUCUGCCAUUGGAUGUUUAUUGAUGUUUCCGAAAGGAGACAUGGGGUUUUUCUUUUAUUGAUGUUCCGAAAUGGAGUACAGGGAGACAACCUUGUCUAUUAUUUAAUCCAAUCAAUGAAUGUAAUGAAAUGAAUUAUAGUUAGUAAUUAGUGAAGUCUUAGUAAUGUUAACAAUUGAAGCGUGUGUUUGAGUCAAUAAUUAAAUUGUGUGUGCUGAUUGAUUUUUAGUAACAUGCUAGUGAUUCUUUGUUGUAUUUUGUAGCUUGUAUGUACAAUAAAACCAAACCACUUUGGAGAACCAAACACUCCUUGUAGUGUGAUUUUUUAUCGAUUAGUUAGUUUUCCCUCCAUUUUCAUGGUAUUACUAUAUAAUACAGUACAAAUCAAAUGCUAAUAAGUACGGCUAUAUUUUUCUCUACUCCGUAUAAACCCUUAACUUCCCGUUUCUUCUGUAUAUCAUUCCUGAUUUUAAUUUUCUCAUAUUAUUGAUUGAAUUCUGCGAAUUCUCAAACGAUUUUUGCAAAUUGCAAUAUGUUUCAGCAAUUUCAAUCAAAACAACAAUUUGAUUAUUCGUAUCGAAUUUUUUACACGAUUUUGUGAGACCAUUUUCCAAACAAAACAACAUCUUGAUGAUUUCAAGGGCAAAUUUCUUGACAGUCGAUAAAAAAUUGCUACAAAAUUCAUCAAAUUUGAUUGUUGCAAUUGUUAUUUCAAAAUUGUAGUUGUUGAUUUGCAACUGAUCAAUUGAAGAAGCAAUAAAGAAAUUUGACGAAAUGUCUAGCUUAUUGUACUCAAGAUGUUCGAUGAAAUGCCUGAACCAGUUGCACUAUCAGAAAGAGCUUAAUUUGGAAGAAAAUGGAGGAGUUUAGAGGUGCUUGGUAAGUUCCUGAAACUCAAAUUCCUGUCUUAAAAUGGAGGGAGGAGUGCAUGAACUCAUCUGGUUAUUGGUAUGCUUUAACCUUUACGCUGUAGCGUUUGACAGAUUGUUAGAUAACACUCCAUUUGUGACCAGUAUUCUUCCUGGAACUCUAUAAUAGGAGUAGUUCUGAUUGUUGAUGUCUGAGAUUAUUUCACGAA
RNA transcript from Chenopodium quinoa (quinoa), 3485 nucleotides. RefSeq lists it as uncharacterized. Lineage: Eukaryota; Viridiplantae; Streptophyta; Magnoliopsida; Caryophyllales; Amaranthaceae. The record is from RefSeq and is a predicted model, not a curated record. The transcript has 6 exons.